CCCUUAGAUGUUCUGGGCCGCACGCGCGCUACACUGUUCGUCGCAGCGAGUCUUAACCUUGACCGAAAGGUUUGGGUAAUCUUCAGCAAAGACGAACGUGAUGGGGAUCGAUCAUUGCAAUUAUUGAUCGUGAACGAGGAAUUCCUAGUAAGUGCAAGUCAUCAGCUUGCGCUGAUUACGUCCCUGCCCUUUGUACACACCGCCCGUCGCACCUACCGAUUGGAUGGUCCGGUGAAGCCUCGGGAUUGUGGUUCUUGCCGCUUUAUUGUGGCGUGACCGCGAGAACUUGUCUAAACCUUAUCAUCUAGAGGAAGGUGAAGUCGUAACA
RNAcentral lists this ribosomal RNA (328 nucleotides) under uncultured eukaryote. RNAcentral's name for it is "partial 18S ribosomal RNA". It matches the Rfam family "Eukaryotic small subunit ribosomal RNA", at positions 1470 to 1796 of the family's 1831-position model. The record is from RNAcentral.